GAUGAACGCUGGCGGCGUGCCUAAUACAUGCAAGUCGAGCGAACGGACGAGAAGCUUGCUUCUCUGAUGUUAGCGGCGGACGGGUGAGUAACACGUGGAUAACCUACCUAUAAGACUGGGAUAACUUCGCGAAACCGGAGCUAAUACCGGAUAAUAUUUUGAACCGCAUGGUUCAAAAGUUAAAGACGGUCUUGCUGUCACUUAUAGAUGGAUCCGCGCUGCAUUAGCUAGUUGGUAAGGUAACGGCUUACCAAGGCAACGAUGCAUAGCCGACCUGAGAGGCUGACCGGCCACACUGGAACUGAGACACUGUCCAGACUCCUACGGGACACAGCAGUAGGGAAUCUUACGCGAUGGGCGAAAGCCUGACGGAGCAACGCCACCUGAGUAAUAAAGGUCUUCGGAUCGUAAAACUCUGUUAUUAGGGAAGAACAUAUGUGUAAGUAAAUGUGCACAUCUUGACGGUACCUAAUCAGAAAGCCACGGCUGACUACGUG
Molecule: ribosomal RNA, 497 nt
Filed under: uncultured bacterium
Lineage: Bacteria
Description: partial 16S ribosomal RNA
Rfam family: Bacterial small subunit ribosomal RNA
Source: RNAcentral